GGCUACAAUAGCUGUCUGAACAUCUGCAAUACAUGGAACUAUCAAUACCCCAGUUUACAUGCAAUAGAUGUAGUGAAUUUGAAAUCCAUCACCCUCCAGGCAGACAAUUAAUUAAUAAGCUUAAGCACCAUUUUGAUUGUAAAGAACUCCAAACAGCCAAAUCAAUGUUAGGAAUGAAUAGCGAUUGCGUAAGAUGUACUAGUAUUGCUUAAUGUUGAACCUUUUUAUAGCUAGAGAGGACUGUCAAUUCCUUUUGCUUAGAGUAACUAGUUUACUCAAAAGUCAAAUUAGUACUAAAUGUUAGUUUCUGAUGCUUGCAAGUUGUUACACAUUCUGUUAUUCAUUCCUAGAAUCCAGCCGGCCAAAUCAGUGUACGAAAGAUGCUUGAACUAUAUUUAUUAAAAUGAGUAAUUGAAUACAAGAAGUAACUUCCAAAUCUCCAGUCAAUAGUCAAUUCCUUCCCUUGCUCUACUUCUCUUCAAUUUUCCUAGUCUCGCAUUUUCCCAUUUAACACACUCUUCAAUGAGUAUGGGACCAAAGAGGAAUGAUAGUUAUACAGACCUACAACUAUGCCAAAAAGUAAAGGAAGAUAAAUGUCAGACUAUUUCCUUUCCCCCUUAGUGGCUUGUAGCAGGGUGAUGGGAAAUAAGUGUUUGCGAUUUUCUUCCUUUAAAUUUUGGCAGAGAUAGAACCCAAUAUGAGCACUGAAAAAAAUAGCUUUUCCCCAAUUUGCCUAAACGUCAUACAGUACAUUAGGAAAACAAUGUAGACAUGUUGAAAAUGAUAUUCCUCCAUGAAAAAAGAUUUCUUUUUCAGAUUAAGGAAAAAGCUUUAUCUUGACAAAUCCAGCAGCCAAAAUCAUGCCUUAAAUGAAAACUGAAGUGCAAAUAUAAUAGUCCUCUAAUAUGUGUGGAACAAAUGUUAAAUGUUAAUUGAUACUGGCUACUAAAUGGGACACCUUCCGAACAAUACUUUCUAACAACAAAAAAAUCUAUUAUAUCCCAAUAUCCCUUAACACAGAAUAUAGGGAAGUUUUCAAUUAGUACCAGGGUAUUGAAUCAAAGCGUGA
RNAcentral lists this unclassified non-coding RNA (1069 nucleotides) under Hevea brasiliensis (rubber tree). The record is from RNAcentral. Lineage: Eukaryota; Viridiplantae; Streptophyta; Magnoliopsida; Malpighiales; Euphorbiaceae.